This 429-nucleotide ribosomal RNA is filed under the name Pseudomonadota bacterium. RNAcentral's name for it is "Proteobacteria bacterium partial 16S ribosomal RNA". It matches the Rfam family "Bacterial small subunit ribosomal RNA", at positions 355 to 776 of the family's 1533-position model. Lineage: Bacteria; Pseudomonadati; Pseudomonadota. The record is from RNAcentral.
UGGGGAAUAUUGGACAAUGGGCGAAAGCCUGAUCCAGCCAUGCCGCGUGUGUGAAGAAGGUCUUCGGAUUGUAAAGCACUUUAAGUUGGGAGGAAGGGCAGUAAGCGAGUACCUUGCUGUUUUGACGUUACCGACAGAAUAAGCACCGGCUAACUCUGUGCCAGCAGCCGCGGUAAUACAGAGGGUGCGAGCGUUAAUCGGAUUUACUGGGCGUAAAGCGUGCGUAGGCGGCUAAUUGAGUCGGAUGUGAAAUCCCCGAGCUUAACUUGGGAAUUGCAUUCGAUACUGGUUAGCUAGAGUGUGGGAGAGGAUGGUAGAAUUCCAGGUGUAGCGGUGAAAUGCGUAGAGAUCUGGAGGAAUACCGAUGGCGAAGGCAGCCAUCUGGCCUAACACUGACGCUGAGGUACGAAAGCAUGGGGAGCAAACAGG